Molecule: ribosomal RNA, 253 nt
Filed under: uncultured bacterium
Lineage: Bacteria
Description: partial 16S ribosomal RNA
Rfam family: Bacterial small subunit ribosomal RNA
Source: RNAcentral
UACGUAGGGGGCAAGCGUUGUCCGGAUUUAUUGGGCGUAAAGAGCGUGUAGGCGGCCAGAUAGGUCCGUUGUGAAAACUGGAGGCUUAACCUCCAGCGGUCGAUGGAAACCAUUUGGUUAGAGUCCGGAAGAGGAGAGUGGAAUUCCUGGUGUAGCGGUGAAAUGCGCAGAUAUCAGGAAGAACACCCGUGGCGAAGGCGGCUCUCUGGGACGGUACUGACGCUGAGACGCGAAAGCGUGGGGAGCGAACAGG